This 262-nucleotide ribosomal RNA is filed under the name uncultured bacterium. RNAcentral's name for it is "partial 16S ribosomal RNA". It matches the Rfam family "Bacterial small subunit ribosomal RNA", at positions 514 to 775 of the family's 1533-position model. The record is from RNAcentral.
GCCGCGGUAAUACGGAGGAUCCGAGCGUUAUCCGGAAUCAUUGGGCGUAAAGCGUGCGCAGGCGGUUCGGAAAGAAAGAUGUGAAAUCCCAGAGCUUAACUUUGGAACUGCAUUUUUAACUCUCGAACUAGAGUAUGUCAGAGGGGGGUAGAAUUCCACGUGUAGCAGUGAAAUGCGUAGAGAUGUGGAGGAAUACCGAUGGCGAAGGCAGCCCCUUGGGAUAAUACUGACGCUCAUGCACGAAAGCGUGGGGAGCAAACAG